UCAAGCUGUUCCCUGAUCGACAAAUUCUCCAUUUGGGAAUUUCGUCAAUAUUUUUCCUGUCUUUAUCCUCAGCAUUGGUUGACGUUCAUCCUCACGGCUUAAACCUCUAACAAAAUUUUCUAUUGUUUUCCAAAUAAAAUUUUGCAAUUAACAAGUAAAAACCUUAGGAGGAAGAGAUUUUCUUUCGAACGCCCUCAGAUUAUCAAGAAAAAUCAAGACCGAUGCCAGUACAAUUCUUCGUUCAGGUGGUUUCGGCUGUUAUUAAAUUUGCGCUUCACCUGCCGAGAACCUCGACGGCUGCUUUGAGAGUCUCAAGAGUGCGCUAUGGAUAUCUUGGUGUCUUUAGCUUUAAAAAUCUUUCUACUUUCUACCUUAUGUAUAGACUACUCCAUCUUGUCUUACAAUCCAA
Long non-coding RNA from Zophobas morio, 409 nucleotides. RefSeq lists it as uncharacterized. The transcript has 3 exons. NCBI's taxonomy places the organism in Eukaryota, Metazoa, Arthropoda, Insecta, Coleoptera, Tenebrionidae. The record is from RefSeq and is a predicted model, not a curated record.